UGUUGUUUUAAAUUAGUUCAUUGCAUUCUUCAUGGUCCAAAAACUCAAAAGGUUCAAAAAAAGGUGGGUAGUCAAGUCUCCUUCCCUCCUAAGGAUUCCCUGCCACUCAAUUUCUUCUCCCAGAGACAACCAGUGUUACCAGGUCUUUUUUAUAUUUCCAGAAAGAGUGUUUAUACAUACAAGCAAUAUGUAUACAUAGAUAUACCCACACUUUUUUCUAAUCAAAUGGCAACAUAAUGUACACACAGAAAAAAGAUAGUAUUUUGAUUUUCCUUUUACAGGAUUGACCAGAUCAAAAGGGGAAAACAUUUUUAAGUGGAAGAGAAAUUCGUCCUCAAGGAAUAAGAAAACUAAUGAGUAUCAAGAAAACAAAUGAAUUAAAAAAUAUACAAUGUGUCUAUUUUUUCCCCCACUUUCACCCAUUUAUCUCUCUCAACCUCUUAGGAAGAAAAGUAAUUUGUAGGGAAAAAAGUACAAAGAGAAAUAUUGUUGGCUCUCCUUCAUGAUGUUUACUAAAAUCCUUGAAUUAUAAAAAAAAGCUUGCAAUCUUUUGCUGUCAAAUAAAAGAAACAAGAUACAUAAAAGAAACAAGAUAAAAGAACACUGAGUUAUGAUUAGUGCUUAAGAUGUUAUACAAGCUUAAGAAUUCAGAAAGUUAUACAUGACUCUGUAUGCAACCUUCAGAAAUAUUAACAAUCUGUACAGACAAACCACCAUCUAAUUUCCUCUUUUGUGCUACCAGAUUGAUGUGGAAACAAGGGAAAGAAUAUUCAGGCUGAAAUGAAGAGAAAGGACAUUAUAAGUGAGUAACAGGAGAAUUAAAACAUGAAACUUUCUGCAUCUCAAGAUAAUAGUAAUGCUCCUUCUCGGCAUCUACUUCCUGGAGAACCUAACUGCAAACAUUGCUCCAUCCUCCUGAUCCUGAGGGAACAUCGGACUCCACUGCAAGAUGUUUGUGUAGUUUGAAAACGUCUCCCAAGAUCCUGUUCCCAUCUCAGUGAUCCUGACAUUUCCCGUGGGGAUUAGUGUAAAGUACCACAGCUUUUUCCUAAAUAGGAGAGGCGUGAAGGAAACACCAGUGGUGUGCUCAAAACAUGAACAACUACCAUGUGGAAAAAAUGAAAAAAAUGAGUACAAAUCAACAGAUGAAGAAACUAAAGAUCAGAGGGUCAGAGAGGUUGCAAGUUACUCUAUAACUCAGUCUCUUCACUAUACCAUACUGCCGCUAAGAGUUGUGAUGCAAUCAAAUUAAUCUGUAAAUUAAAUAUAUUUUAAACAAUGUAGUCAGUUGCUGAUUUCCAUAACAUUCCUGUCAGAUGUCAUGCAACUUUUGUUGGAAUAUUUCCAGUGAUGGGAAGUGUAUUCUCUUUGAAGCAACACAUUUCACUGCCAAAUAGCUUGAUGGCUACAGAAUUCUCCUUUAUUUUAGUAAAAUGUGCUUUAAUGGUUGAUUUACAGCAGUGAAAGUAGAGGAAUUGCCCUCUAUUUCAGUAUGUAUUAGAGUCUUCCCUGGACCCUGGUCGCAAAUCUGCUACUCAUCUUCAAUCUGCAUGAUUAAAAGGAAAAGUGAGGUAGAAGAGUCCACUGCCCUCCAUCCCUCUCUAGAACUGCUACCCUCCUGGAUUUGUGGCACUUACUACCACAAACAUAGCAGUCAAGUAUGACUACCAAAAUAUCAUGUUCGCUUUAAUUCACUGAAGUAUGAGCAGUAAGCACUAUGCUUCUUAGUUAUUCCUUUGUAUACCUUCUUUUAAACAAUGUAGUGCUACACAUGGAAAUCCAAAUAUAUACACCAGAUACAUUAGAAAAGUUCUCAUUUUUUUGUUUGUUUAAACUACUUUUGUUUCUUAAAGACCUAAGAUCCUUUGAAGCUGGGAAGAACCACUUCAGGAUCCCAGGGGGGGAAGCUCCCCCAAAAUACUUAUUUGGUGUUCCUGAAACUCACAACCAAGAAAACAAAAACAAA
This is a long non-coding RNA of Manis pentadactyla (Chinese pangolin), 1966 nucleotides long. RefSeq lists it as uncharacterized. The record is from RefSeq and is a predicted model, not a curated record. The transcript is spliced from 3 exons. NCBI's taxonomy places the organism in Eukaryota, Metazoa, Chordata, Mammalia, Pholidota, Manidae.